This 440-nucleotide ribosomal RNA is filed under the name uncultured bacterium. RNAcentral describes it as "partial 16S ribosomal RNA". It matches the Rfam family "Bacterial small subunit ribosomal RNA", at positions 338 to 795 of the family's 1533-position model. The record is from RNAcentral.
CCUACGGGAGGCAGCAGUAGGGAAUAUUGCUCAAUGGGGGAAAGCCUGAAGCAGCAACGCCGCGUGGAGGAUGACGGUUUUCGGAUUGUAAACUCCUUUUGUUAAAGACGAUAAUGACGGUAUCUAACGAAUAAGCACCGUCUAACUCCGUGCCAGCAGCCGCGGUAAUACGGAGGGUGCAAGCGUUACUCGGAAUCACUGGGCGUAAAGAGCGCGUAGGCGGGAUAGCAAGUCAGAUGUGAAAUCCUAUGGCUUAACCAUAGAACUGCAUUUGAAACUGUUAUUCUAGAGUAUGGGAGAGGUAGGUGGAAUUCUUGGUGUAGGGGUAAAAUCCGUAGAGAUCAAGAAGAAUACUCAUUGCGAAGGCGACUUGCUAGAACAUAACUGACGCUGAUGCGCGAAAGUGUGGGGAGCAAACAGGAUUAGAUACCCUUGUAGUC